Molecule: non-coding RNA, 109 nt
Organism: Acanthosepion pharaonis
Lineage: Eukaryota; Metazoa; Mollusca; Cephalopoda; Sepiida; Sepiidae
Source: the annotation of a GenBank genome assembly
CGGUGAAAUCAUACUGAAAAACCGAUUCUCGUUUGAUCUCCAAAGUUAAGCAAUGUCGAGCCCGAUCAGUACUUAGAUGGAAGAUCACUUGGACACACCGAGAAUUGUA